RNAcentral lists this ribosomal RNA (300 nucleotides) under uncultured bacterium. Its description in RNAcentral is "bacterial SSU rRNA". It matches the Rfam family "Bacterial small subunit ribosomal RNA", at positions 496 to 795 of the family's 1533-position model. The record is from RNAcentral.
GGUAUCAAGUGGGAAGCUGCCGCGGGAAGUAGUAGGCGGGAGGCGUUAUCUGGAUGCACUGGGCGUAAAGCGUGCGGAGGUGGAGCGUUAAGGGAGAGUGUAAAUCGUGUGGCUCAACCAUGACGAUGCGGCUCAUACUGGCGUGCUAGAGGACAGCAGAGGCAAGUGGAAUUGGUAGUGUAGCAGUGAAAUGCGUAGAUAUUACCAGGAACACCAAUGGCGAAGGCAGCUUGCUGGGCUACUCCUGACACUGAGGUACGAAAGCGUGGGGAGCGAACAGGAUUAGAUACCCCAGUAGUC